This 254-nucleotide ribosomal RNA is filed under the name Salmonella enterica subsp. enterica serovar Cerro. RNAcentral's name for it is "partial 23S ribosomal RNA". It matches the Rfam family "Bacterial large subunit ribosomal RNA", at positions 804 to 1088 of the family's 2925-position model. The record is from RNAcentral. Lineage: Bacteria; Pseudomonadati; Pseudomonadota; Gammaproteobacteria; Enterobacterales; Enterobacteriaceae.
AUGACCUGUGGCUGGGGGUGAAAGGCCAAUCAAACCGGGAGAUAGCUGGUUCUCCCCGAAAGCUAUUUAGGUAGCGCCUCGUGAAUUCAUCUCCGGGGGUAGAGCACUGUUUCGGCUAGGGGGCCAUAUGCAAUUCUGAAAGCGCUUUAAUCUUUUAAACGUGCGGCGGCCUCUUCGGAGGCCGUUUUUAUACACUUCAUCCUUUAAGCUGCCUCUUUGUUGGCUGCACUCAGAAACCCCGGACACAUCGUUAU